This 28-nucleotide transfer RNA is filed under the name Dicarpellum pancheri. RNAcentral describes it as "partial tRNA-Leu". RNAcentral also lists the same sequence under 1 other name. Lineage: Eukaryota; Viridiplantae; Streptophyta; Magnoliopsida; Celastrales; Celastraceae. The record is from RNAcentral.
AAAUCCGUCGACUUUAGAAAUCAUGAGG